CCCAGAUGCAGAAGAACCACAGCUUCCAGA
This 30-nucleotide non-coding RNA is filed under the name Homo sapiens (human). The record is from RNAcentral. Lineage: Eukaryota; Metazoa; Chordata; Mammalia; Primates; Hominidae.